UGGGGAAUUUUGGACAAUGGGGGCAACCCUGAUCCAGCAAUGCCGCGUGUGUGAAGAAGGCCUUCGGGUUGUAAAGCACUUUUGUCCGGAAAGAAAACGUCGUGGUUAAUACCCGUGGCGGCUGACGGUACCGGAAGAAUAAGCACCGGCUAACUACGUGCCAGCAGCCGCGGUAAUACGUAGGGUGCAAGCGUUAAUCGGAAUUACUGGGCGUAAAGCGUGCGCAGGCGGUCCGCUAAGACAGAUGUGAAAUCCCCGGGCUUAACCUGGGAACUGCAUUUGUGACUGGCGGGCUAGAGUAUGGCAGAGGGGGGUAGAAUUCCACGUGUAGCAGUGAAAUGCGUAGAGAUGUGGAGGAAUACCGAUGGCGAAGGCAGCCCCUGGGCCAAUACUGACGCUCAUGCACGAAAGCGUGGGGGAGCAAACAGGAUUCAGAUACCCUGGUAGUCCACGCCCUAAACGAUGUCAACUAGUUGUCGGGUCUUCAUUGACUUGGUAACGUAGCUAACGCGUGAAGUUGACCGCCUGGGGAGUACGGUCG
RNAcentral lists this ribosomal RNA (541 nucleotides) under uncultured bacterium. RNAcentral describes it as "partial 16S ribosomal RNA". It matches the Rfam family "Bacterial small subunit ribosomal RNA", at positions 355 to 888 of the family's 1533-position model. The record is from RNAcentral.